RNAcentral lists this ribosomal RNA (253 nucleotides) under uncultured bacterium. Its description in RNAcentral is "partial 16S ribosomal RNA". It matches the Rfam family "Bacterial small subunit ribosomal RNA", at positions 524 to 776 of the family's 1533-position model. The record is from RNAcentral.
UACAGAGGUCUCAAGCGUUGUUCGGAUUCAUUGGGCGUAAAGGGUGCGUAGGCGGCGCGGUAAGUCGGGUGUGAAAUCUCGGAGCUUAACUCCGAAACUGCAUUCGAUACUGCCGUGCUUGAGGACUGGAGAGGAGACUGGAAUUCCCGGUGUAGCGGUGAAAUGCGCAGAUAUCGGGAAGAACACCCGUGGCGAAGGCGGUUCUCUGGGACGGUACUGACGCUGAGACGCGAAAGCGUGGGGAGCGAUCCGG